AGAGUUUGAUCCUGGCUCAGGACGAACGCUGGCGGCGUGCUUAACACAUGCAAGUCGAACGGAAAGGCCCUUCGGGGUACACGAGUGGCGAACGGGUGAGUAACACGUGGGUGAUCUGCCCUGCACUUUGGGAUAAGCCUGGGAAACUGGGUCUAAUACCGAAUAUGACCAUGCACUUCCUGGUGUGUGGUGGAAAGCUUUUGCGGUGUGGGAUGGGCCCGCGGCCUAUCAGCUUGUUGGUGGGGUAAUGGCCUACCAAGGCGACGACGGGUAGCCGGCCUGAGAGGGUGACCGGCCACACUGGGACUGAGAUACGGCCCAGACUCCUACGGGAGGCAGCAGUGGGGAAUAUUGCACAAUGGGCGCAAGCCUGAUGCAGCGACGCCGCGUGAGGGAUGACGGCCUUCGGGUUGUAAACCUCUUUCAGCACAGACGAAGCGCAAGUGACGGUAUGUGCAGAAGAAGGACCGGCCAACUACGUGCCAGCAGCCGCGGUAAUACGUAGGGUCCGAGCGUUGUCCGGAAUUACUGGGCGUAAAGAGCUCGUAGGUGGUUUGUCGCGUUGUUCGUGAAAACUCACAGCUUAACUGUGGGCGUGCGGGCGAUACGGGCAGACUUGAGUACUGCAGGGGAGACUGGAAUUCCUGGUGUAGCGGUGGAAUGCGCAGAUAUCAGGAGGAACACCGGUGGCGAAGGCGGGUCUCUGGGCAGUAACUGACGCUGAGGAGCGAAAGCGUGGGGAGCGAACAGGAUUAGAUACCCUGGUAGUCC
Molecule: ribosomal RNA, 771 nt
Filed under: uncultured bacterium
Lineage: Bacteria
Description: bacterial SSU rRNA
Rfam family: Bacterial small subunit ribosomal RNA
Source: RNAcentral